RNAcentral lists this ribosomal RNA (161 nucleotides) under Bryhnia hultenii. RNAcentral describes it as "5.8S ribosomal RNA". It matches the Rfam family "5.8S ribosomal RNA". Rfam says of the family: 5.8S ribosomal RNA (5.8S rRNA) is a component of the large subunit of the eukaryotic ribosome. The record is from RNAcentral. Lineage: Eukaryota; Viridiplantae; Streptophyta; Bryopsida; Hypnales; Brachytheciaceae.
AAGAACAACUCUCAGCAACGGAUAUCUUGGCUCUUGCAACGAUGAAGAACGCAGCGAAAUGCGAUACGUAGUGUGAAUUGCAGAAUUCCGCGAAUCAUCGAGUCUUUGAACGCAAGUUGCGCCCGAGGCUUGUCCGAGGGCAUUUCCGCUAGAGCGUCACC